CAGCAGCCGCGGUAAUACGCAGGUGGCAAGCGUUGUCCGGAAUUAUUGGGCGUAAAGGGCUCGCAGGCGGUUUCUUAAGUCUGAUGUGAAAGCCCCCGGCCCAACCGGGGAGGGUCAUUGGAAACUGGGAAACUUGAGUGCAGAAGAGGAGAGUGGAAUUCCACGUGUAGCGGUGAAAUGCGUAGAGAUGUGGAGGAACACCAGUGGCGAAGGCGACUCUCUGGUCUGUAACUGACGCUGAGGAGCGAAAGCGUGGGGAGCGAACAGGAUUAGAUACCCGCGUAGUCCCUGUCUCUUAUAC
This 301-nucleotide ribosomal RNA is filed under the name uncultured bacterium. RNAcentral describes it as "partial 16S ribosomal RNA". It matches the Rfam family "Bacterial small subunit ribosomal RNA", at positions 509 to 807 of the family's 1533-position model. The record is from RNAcentral.